UUUCAUUCAGCGCCUACAUUCUCUCUGGACCUCACGCGGUCACGCCCUCUGCCAUUUAUGGAGCGGAAGUCCACACCAAAAUACUCCUAGAAACAGAGCAGCAUUACGAGGCCAAAAGUAAGCUGCUGCUGUUCUUCGACCCGUCCCGUUCGUUCGAUUCGUUCUUUCCGCCAUGGAGGCUCGGAGGAAGCCCGCGGUGUGCUGUGCCCUUCUUGUGCUGCUCAUCGUCGCCUCCAGCGCAACGGUGUCGACUGCUCAUGACGAGAGCUGCUGGAAGGACGACGACCACCACCCUAUCUGCUUUCCCGAAGACUGCGUGGCGACCUGCCAGGAUCACGGCCACGCGGACGGCCGCUGCAACUGGGCAUGGUCGUGGAGGCCGUAUUGCCAGUGCCUGUUGGCGGACUGCCAAUAGGCGCGAACAGCUGCGUCGCAUGGCGUCCUGGCUGCCUCGCCGGCCGAUGAAGGAUGAACGGUUGCGGCCGAUGAUCGAUGUGUCCGUCGGCAUGUCGAUCACUCAUUGAAACCCCCUCUAAUCCUGUGCGGUAUUAUUUUCAUGGCACCUGUGGCCAUUAAAGAUCCAUGGACACGUACAGUACCAAUACAUGAUUCUUCACAGUUCAACUAUCGAUGAUACUGUUCAUGGAUUUUCAUUCCGAUACAAACUCAUUUCGUGGUUA
Long non-coding RNA from Zea mays, 680 nucleotides. RefSeq lists it as uncharacterized. The transcript is spliced from 2 exons. The record is from RefSeq and is a predicted model, not a curated record. NCBI's taxonomy places the organism in Eukaryota, Viridiplantae, Streptophyta, Magnoliopsida, Poales, Poaceae.